AGGACUAACGCUGGCGGCGUGCCUAACACAUGCAAGUCGAACGAGGUAGCAAUACCUAGUGGCAGACGGGUGAGUAACACGUAGUCAACCUUCCCGAUAGUGGGGGAUAACUAGCCGAAAGGUUAGCUAAUACCGCAUACGAUCUUCGAGUGGCAUCAUUUGAAGAUGAAAGGAGCAAUCCGCUUUCGGACGGGACUGCGUCCCAUUAGCUAGAUGGUGGGGUAAUGGCCUACCAUGGCAACGAUGGGUAGCUGGUUUGAGAGAGCGACCAGCCACACUGGGACUGAGAAACGGCCCAGACUCCUACGGGAGGCAGCAGUGAGGAAUUUUCCGCAAUGGGCGAAAGCCUGACGGAGCGACGCCGCGUGUGGGAAGAAGGCCUUCGGGUCGUAACCACUGUCGAAGGGGAAAUACUGAUGGUACCCUUGGAGGAAGCCCCGGCUAACUACGUGCCAGCAGCCGC
Molecule: ribosomal RNA, 463 nt
Filed under: uncultured bacterium
Lineage: Bacteria
Description: SSU rRNA
Rfam family: Bacterial small subunit ribosomal RNA
Source: RNAcentral